Molecule: long non-coding RNA, 10707 nt
Filed under: Phoenix dactylifera (date palm)
Lineage: Eukaryota; Viridiplantae; Streptophyta; Magnoliopsida; Arecales; Arecaceae
Description: long non-coding RNA (PDAC_LNC001426)
Source: RNAcentral
AUAAUUCUAUUUCUUUCCAUAUUUUCCACCUAUCACAAAAAACAGUUUGUGCUCCCGCCAUUAUGAUAUUCUACAGCAUAUUCAACCUUAUUAAAGGUCUCAGAUUGUAAUUUCUGCUGCUCUGCGUUCAUCAAAUGAAUAUUACUACCACUUUGGUUUUUGACAUGCAUUCAGGAAAAUUUGUGCAAUAUGGAUGGGUUAAAACUUGUUAGUUAUGGUAGGGAUAUCAUACAACCAACCUAAUCAUGGUCAAAAAAAAGAGAAUAGCCAAUCAUGUUAAAGCUUUCUCAUUGGGCCUUGUAGAUGUUUCAUUUCCAUAUGUGAAAGAAAAAGAAUCUCAAUUGUGCUCCAUGGGAAUCUUCACAAUCAAUAUAAGAUUAAUGCAUUUUGAAGUUUGAACCACAUAGCUCAGUUUCUUCCCCCUUCUUGGUCCAUGCACCACAACCACUAGUUAUGCACAUUAGUCCAUGAUGCCACUGCUUAUCUUUCUUAUGAGUGAUGCCAAUCAAUCAUUUUGGACCUUUUUAAAUAUGUAUCCAUUUUUCUUGCAAAGUAGAUCCUCUUAGAACAUCCAUUAAUACAGUGCUUUAUGGUAAAUUGCUUCAAAUGCUUGCAUUCAACUGAGGUAUUUCCAUCUUUUGAUUACUAGAGAUCUUUUGAUAUUUUUCAAGUGUUGGCUGUAUUGAUGUUAGCACAAGACAUGCAUGUGUACCAUGGUAUCUUGCAUAGCAAGAGUAUUAACCAAUGUCAACCUAUAUUGACUUGUGAGGCGAAAGCCCAUUUCGACGUCUAAAAAGAGGGUUUGAGAACAAAUGUGUAGAUUUUCCCCAACGCAAUUCAAAAACGGAAAUUCCACGAAUCCCUAUUUGGCUUUGGUCAAUGUGUCUUGUUAUCACUUGCUACUGAGCCAAAAAAACCAAGGUCUGAUGUAUUGACCCAAAUUGCUCGGUUCGGGGCAAACCCAUCGAGUUCUGAGUGGCAACUGGGUCGAAAUGCAACUUUAGUUUGGAAACCUCAAAUUGGCUUAGACCGACUUGAAUCGAGCAAAACCAUCCUGUUUUGCUUGCUUUAAGUGGUUCGUUGUCUUUAUAACCCCCCGACCCAAUCCUGAGUUGCCUCGCCUCCUGAUCACUCUCUCCCUCCCUCUCGUGUUAGGUUAGGAUUAGGGCUUUGACGUGGCCAUCCUGCUAUCAUCGCUGCCACCUUUGACGACGACCAUAGGUAUACACUUCGCCCUUUCUCUUUCUCUCUCAGUCUCUCUCCUAAAGAUGACCACUCCGGUGGCUUUGCCCUCUCUUUCUUCCCCCCGCUCUUUCUCUCAGUCUCUCUCCCCACUUUGCCUCCUCUAUCUUUCUCCUCUCGCUCUUUCUCUCAAAGACGUUGAUAACCCCGGCAACUUCACUUCCCCUUCCUUUCUCUCCUCGCUCUCUCAAUCUCUCUCUCUCUCCUCUCUCUCUCUCUCUCACUCAGACAGACGACCUCGGUUUCUUCGCCCUGUCUCUUUGUUCCUCCCUUUCCCCUCUCCCUCUCCCUCUCCAUCAUCCUAGUUCUAAUUUGCCUUAGGUUGCUAUGGUAUGCAUUGGUACUAUACCAAAUCAGUCACCAGCUAGUAUGAUUGGAUAUUGAUAUGACGAACCUUGAAAAAAUCUUUAUAUUUAUUUACUUAUUGAGUUUCAAUGAAUCAUGAUAUUGCUUGUCACUAAAGAACACAACAUGGUGUGUGUUAUGCUGGCCAUUGUUUGGCAUGCUUCAUGCCAACAACGCUUAAAACUUUGGUACUUUCUACUACCGCUAGUAAAGUGUAUGUGCAAAUGCAUGUGUAGCUCAUCAUAGUUAAAAGGAAAAUUUGCAAGUAUGGUAGAGUUGAUAUUUGAAAAGAUUUUUGUUUAAUCUAUUGCUUUAAUGUAGAAUGAUUCAAUUAUAAUCCGUAGGGACUACUUAAAACCAGAAAGGUUAAAAUUAAAGCAAAGUAAGUCGAAUUGCGCUGAACCUGCCGGUUCAGGAUGUACAGAACUGGACCAAUUGGUUACCGGCAUGGUUCAACCGAUCCGAACAAGAUUUAUAAAUAACCCUCUAUCUAAGGCUCGGAGCUGCUGGAACUCUCCCGACACCUUAGUCGAAGUCCUUGGUUCCCAUCGACAAUGAUGAUGAUGAUAACGUCCUAACUAGAUGAGCUCUCUCUCUCUCUCUCUCUCGGGGUCCCCAUUGCCAGGAUCCAAAGUCGGUCAGAUGGACUCAAAGCUCUCGAAGCCCUUGCUUCCCCUCUCUCCCCCACUUCUGCAUCCUCCUCUAGCCUCGGUCAACUUGCAAAGCCGUCGUCAAAUGCCUCUCUCAGGUGAGUUCGAAGGUCUUGGCCUCUCUCUCAACCCUCUCUCUUUCUCUAUCUCUCCUUUCUCUCCCUCCCUCUAGUUUUGGUACACCACAUUUUGGUACGUAUGUAUGGGUACCGUACCGGUCGCCAGCCAGUGCGACUCGAUAUUGAUUUGGCGAAUCUUGGUUUAAACCUUUUCCUAAGCAAGAAACUAUUGAAGAUUUGGCAUUAAGUAAUAAAAAUAAAGCAUAGAGGGUGUGAGCCUUUAUGCAAAGUAAGGUUUUUCUAUUGUGACAUGGAGGUCAUGGGUUCGAAAUAUAGAAAAAAUUCUUUAGUAUGUAGGGGUAAGGCAGCAUACAUCUAACCCUUCCUAAAUCCUACAAUGACGGGAGCCUCGUGCACUAGUCGCCCUCUCUUUUUUUAUAAUAAAAAGAAGCAUGUGAAUGUAGGUGUUGCAAAGAUGGUAGAGUAAAAUGACUCAACCUGUCUAAGGAAUGAAUUUGGAUUUGUAAGUUAUAUUAUGUUACUAUGUCUAAUAAUUUUACAUAUGGAUGUUAAUGGUUGUGUUAGGCAUUGAUAGUUAUCAAAGAAAAAUUAUAAGUACAGUGCAAUUUCAGAUGAAGCAGAAACCUAGGCUUGCUAGCAUCAUAUCUUGGUGGGGCCAUUUCCAUUUGGAAGCUUGGGUUCAAACCACAAUUAGAUUGAAUAAUGCUAUGACAUACGAGACUAGACUGCUAAAACCCAUGGUAGCCUAGUUAAUAUAUGAAUUCAAAGAAAUUAUUGUAAUUCUGAAGUAAAACAAUUUAGAUGGGCUUUAAUCUAAUCAAAUUUCUCUUAGUUAUCUUGUCCAAUAAGGUACAUACAUGAAUGGGCUUGUCUAGCCAUCACCUUGAUUUAAUGGGCCAAGUAGCUAGAAUUGGUGGAUGCAUAUAGUCAUAGUAGCAUGUUUCUCUCACUCCUUUUUUAAUCACAUGGGAUAUCGAAACUACACAAAAGUUUGUAUACUCAAGAACCAUGAGAUAUAUUUUUAUGCAUUUAGGAGAUACUUUGUUUUCACUAUGUUUAAUUUUGAUGCAACUAAAUCUCAUCUUAUAAUUGUGAUAUUUACCAUGAAAGAUAUGAUGCUUUGUAUUUCUCAGAAUAUUUAUGAACUUUCUUCGUUUGUUUUUCACAGUUGUUUUGGGUUUUUUGUGCAAGAAUAAUUGCAUGCUGCCUCAAUUUAUGCUCUAAGAAGAAUGAAAUACUUAACAUAGUUUGAGAUUCUCCUUGCUAAUAGAAACUUACAGAUGUGGUUUGUUACUGCAUCUGUAGGCCACUUGGCACACAAUACGUCAACCCGCAAGGUGCAAGUCUAGGCAUAGUAGUUCACAACCUUUUACACUAGUGCUAGACCUACAAGCGAUUUGCACCACACCCUUAUUUGCUUAACCAGAGGCUAGGUUAAUGGGAUGUGGGGCAUCUUCUGAGAGGGGGAUGUAUGUGGCUUUUGCCUACAUGCAUGUCUGUCUAGAACUUUUCCAUGGAUUUGUAUGGUUUUUCCAAGCCCAACUGCUAAUAAAAGAGAAAUGUUCAUUACUUACAGCAUCAACCUCAACAUUCUAAUCAAAGGCAUAAUACUACUAAAGAAAAUUGUCAAGAAAUCAGGGCAGUCACUGAUGAUGUUAGAGAAGAGGAUUUAUGGCACCUUGAGCAAAAGCUAAGAUGUCAACCCAAACACAAGCAAACCAAAAGCUAGAAAGUCUUGCAAACUUCAUCUUUGAAGACAACAAAAUUCCUUUAUCAAAAAAAGAACACAAUCCACUUCCCAAUGGGAUCAAACAUGUCGUAACUUUGCAAAUAAAUCAUAGUAACCAGCUAUUUGUCUUGAAGCUCUUAUUCUUCAUUUGAAACCCACCAUGGCUUGGUACCAUUAACACCUUUUGUAUUGUGCCAUAGAGUAGAUGUUUAACAUGUCUGAGGCCUGAUGCUUCAUUUAGAUCAUGGCACUACUUGGAUCUAGUUCUUCUUCCUCAUAGACGAUCAACGAGCCUGGAGAAGAAGAGAAAGACUUUGUUCCAUGGAUCAAAAUAAUUGUAGGUGGCCCUACCCAUGGACUUACGAGAAAGAAUGUAGAGGUUGGGUACAUGGAUUGUAUCCAUUGUAGAGGGCAAAGAUUGAUGCAUCAAUGGGCUGACUAAACUAAAGGCUGGAGGCAAUUAUGGAUAGGGGAUAUGAUGGAAAGAGAGAAGGAGAGGAAAUUGGCCAAGUAUUAGGCUACAAGUAUGACGGGGAGGCAAGCAUGGGCGAAGUUAGGGAGAUAUUGUCCCAAUUUUGGUCCAUUAAACAGUCAAGGGCAUGGAUUGCCAUAUCGUCUCGAACUGCCAACUCUUCUGUAUCGAGUUGUAUCGAGGUGUAUCGAGGUGCGUACAAAUCUGUACCAAGGUAUACUGAGAUAAAAAGGUGAGAAAAAUGGUUCGAUGGCCAUUUUGAUAGGGUGUAUAUCCUAUCAUACCAAUCCGUACCAAACAAAUAAUGUAUUGGUAUAGCACCUAGUAUCGAGAUUCCGAACUUUGGUCAAAAAUUUUGUACAGUUGUAAAAUGCAAUGUACAGUGGACUUUGAUUUGUGUUCAAUAGAUGAUUGCUUUAACAUGGACUAUCCAGCAACUUUGCUUGCAUCUUAUCUUUGCUUAGCACUGGAGUGACGCACGUCUAGUGGACUUCAAUUCAUGUUUGCUAGAUGACUGCUUUAAUAUGGGUCUGAUAGCUUGCUUCAUAUUUUUGCUUGCUCAUGGUGUGAAUAAACAGCUUCUUCAGAAGUGGCUAUAAUUUUUCUAUUGAUGUGGGACGAUGAAGGAAAGAAUCAUAAGUUGCAUGGAGAAAAGAUCUGUGUGGAGCCAAGAGAAGAAAGGAACCGAGUAACACACCAAUGUGGACUGAUGGAGCUUAUUUCAGUUGGAAGUUUGACCCAAGAGAACAAAUGGACUCAGAGAUUUUGGGUCUGAGUUAUUUUAUGUAUGGGAACUGAUGUAAAGAAUGAAGACAUGCAGGCAAUCAUCUACCAAAAAGCCACAAUGGUCUCAGCAAGACCAAGGUCAUGCAGGCUUUUUCCCAGAAUUCACACUUUCAUGUUUUGGUAAAAUAUAGUGUAUUGUUUCAUUAUACAUGAUUAGUUAAACUUCUUACAUCUCUUUGAAAUAGCUUCUCGCAAUUAGCCCCCAAAAAAUUGUCAUUACAUAGUGGAUCAGUACAAAUAUAUCUUCUCUGUGAGAUUAUGAUGGAAUAUGGGCAUAAAUCUGCAAACCACAUUUACAAUACCAAGUUUAGUUCAAUUGUCAGAUGGGUAUGAGGUGCAUUUUGCUCCAACAUGCAUUCUACAUACAUGACGCAUCAUAGCAUUGAAUACUAACAACUGAUGCUGACUCUAUUUUUUCUGUGCAAAUCCCUUGACUUGAGAUGUAACUGAGUGUUAAAUAUUGUGAAUUUGAAAGGUAGCUUUAAUUUGCUUAGCCAUGCAACUAUUGAGUAGGUUGAUCCAUUAUCUCUUCAUGUGAGGUUUCAGUUCACCGGUUUCCAAUUAUUAUAGACUGGCUCACAAGUUUUUCCUGUAUAAUUGGAUGGCAGUCAUCAUUAAACAUGGAGAGGAAAUAUGAUAGUUUUCUUAUGUUCCAAAGGAAAUAUGUUUAUAGUUGCUUUUGUAGGUUGGAACGUAGAUAUGGAAGCUAUCACUGAGGUAAUAGGGUAACUGGGGGCUUAAUGAUGUGCCAUAUCAAUUUGUUGAGGCGCAUUGAAAGUGGCAUUGUUUUGAAGUGGAGCUUAGAUUAUACAUGUAUUGGGUGAGAAUCAAAAUAUACAUGGCAGUUGAUCUAUGACAGUGGGUUGAUGCAAUUAUUCUGUUCUUGCAAGCUUGUCAUAACACCCAAGGGUUACAUAUGCAAUGGCCAUUAUGGAGACAAGAAGAAAUAUCCUGGAGCUAUAGCUUUAGAUGCAUUCUAAGGGAUCCAAAGUUUGGAAGCUGUUUAUUUCGGAUAUUUGUUUUCUCCUAGAAGGCUGGAGAAUACUGUUGAUGGCAGUGGGAAGGAUUGAAUGUGGACAGGUCCAUUUUAUUACCCACAUCUUUGUCUGGUUUAUGUAUACAUUCAAUUUUUGCUGCUGCAAGAUCCAAAAGAAAGAUGUGGUUUGUGAGAAUCUGAGAAGAGUCUUCAAUUUGGAUUUGGCAGCAGCAAUAUUCUUGUCGUUUUGUUGUGGCUUAUUUGAAUUUGUAGAGACAGUACUCUUUUCUUGUAUUACUUGCGUGCAUAUAAGCCUUUAAUAUUCUCUUUAAAAGGGCUUGGCUUGAACUUGCUCCAUCUAGAGCUGUGUGUUGUGGAAAGGAUAGCCACCUAAUCCACAAUUUAACUGCAAAACUGUAGCUUUUGGAAAUGACUUCUUUUACUUAACGAUGGGACUUGAGGUGGAAAAAGAGAUCCAGAGCCUAUAACGUUAUAGAAUAUGUGAGAAAAGCAUUGGUAUUAUUCUGUUCUAUUCUGGAAUUUCUUUCCUUACCCGAUAUUUGAUAAGGUUUAUAUGCUUAACCGUCUUUAUAACACAGUUAACAAUGAAUGGGUGAUAAGUUGGAGAGUUGUGGGAGGUCAAGUCUAUUCUUUGUAUAGUCUCAUUGGUCCUUUUUUUUGUCUUGCUUCUUAGUAUUUCUUACCAUCCUUGCUUCGGAUGCAUGCACAUAUUUUUCAAGAAGAAUCUCGAUACCAUUGUGAGAGCUGUUGGCAUCAUGUAUCAACCCAUGUAUGGGCUUAACCACACUGCUGAACUCUAGUUAAUUUGUUAUAAUUUUUUAAAUUAUAUGGUCCCUUUUUUUAUCUUUAGAUAUGUAGCAUAAGAUUUAUCGCCGACACUUUCCAUUUGUUUGCCCUGCGAUGAUUUUGUGGAAUUAAUUACAUCCAGUUAAUGUUCUAGCUUUUUCUAGGGGAUGAGGUAGGAAAUUUAUUGAGGUGUCGCUUCAUGUGCCAUACUUUUAAUUUUGUAUUUAUUAUUGAUAUCGUUUAGAAUAUCUGCUUGCAAUGUGAAUCUUCAAGUGAGCGUAUUUCAGGGCCAUGGUUUCAAAAAGACAGGAGUUAAUUUCUUUAUUUACAUCUCCAUAUGCUUGUAGAGUAGGUAUGGUUUCUGUAGUUGGAGCACCUAACAACAAAGUAUCUACUUUAUCAUAUUUUGCUUAUGUAUAGCAAAUAACUAGUUGACAAUAUGCUGAGAAAUGUAGCUUUAGUUUUUCACUUGAGUUUAUUCCUUGCUGCUCAACUAAUAAAGUGAGGAGCAUCUUCUUAUAUAUGAUGGCAUUUUGACAUUUCUUUUUAACCCCACAUUCUGGGUAAGUAUGGAAUUCCUUGUUGCGAUGCAUCUUUUACUUACAGGUUUUGUUUAUCAUUUUUUUGUUUAAGUGAUCAUCAACCCUUGCAUUUGUCUCCUUCCAGAGGUGAAGAACCCGAGUUUUGUGACCAUUUUUUCUGAGUAAUAAAAUCAGUGGUGGUGGAGACAUGUUUUCACCUUUCAUUUUGGAGGAAAAGUCAUCUUGAGAUUGUGUUUCACAAACUUCAAAGGAACUUUUUAAUGUAAAGAACUCUACACUGAAAUGUAGAAAUCCCAAACAUGCCAUUUGCAAAACUGUUAGAUGCAGAUCGAUAUGGACUAUUCUCAAAUCUUGAUCAUAAUAACAGUUAAAAGGAUGCUUUCUUGCCCAUCAGCAUUAUCUUACUUAGGAUUAAAUUGAAAUUCACAUCUUGUGUUGUGGGAUUUCAAAUUGACAGUGCUAAACUUUGGGCUUUGCCAUUGCAAUCUCUUGCUUGAGUCAGUCUAUUCUUCAAUUUUUUGGAUUUAAUUAUGUCUUGCAUUAUGUCAAUGAUUUGUAUUAUGGAUCAUGCUGCUUUCCUAUGCUUUUUUGUUAUAAAAAAAAAUUGAUGAUGGCACAUUUCUGUCAUCUUUUUUCUUUAUGGGCAUAACCAUAUGCAUGGUUAUUCAUCAGACGGGAUUAUUCCACGAUAAUUUUACUGACAAAGCUCCAUACUUCUAUCUAGUUUUAAUUUAUAAAUGACAGCCAUGCUUGGAUUCAAACCUUGACAAACUUUUUCUCUCCUGGCCUGUUGUCUUUGGAUUGUUCAAAUAUAUAGAUUGUCAAUUUGAAAAUGCAGUUCUUAAUGGAGAAGUUUCAUGCAACUGCUAGGUGACUAAUGGUGGAUUCAUGGUAGCGUUUGCCGGUAGGAAGUAUGCAGCACGAUCCCUUCCAACAUUUGUCAGUAACAGUUCAUACACUGUUACCAGUUUUACCCUGGUAUUCUAGUAACAUAAGAUCCUGGAAAUAAAGAAAUUUAAGCCAGAAAAUUCUGUUGUAUAUUCAUUUGUCUACUUGAAUGCUUACGUAGGUACUUGAGUUCCAAAAGGGUACACUUCAGAACUUGUAUUGGAAGAGAGAUGGUUGUGCUUCAUGUUCAGGAAAGUCAGACUUCGUUUGUCUGAACAAACAAGAAUGUGCAAUUAAAACAUCCAAUUGCAAGAGCGCGAACCAGGGUGGCUCAGUUGAUUGCAGCAUUGGAAUACAAUUGGCCUUCUCAGGAACAGAUAAGCAUUAUGCUGUCCUCAAUUCAUGGUAUGAGGUUUCCAACCUCCAGCAGUACUCCCUUUAUGGACUGUAUUCCAACCUUAGAGAUUCUCUCACCGGCCAGUACAACAAAAUCUUCUAGCUUGUUGGAUUGGGUAAACUCCUUGCUGGAACUGCUGCUGUAAUUUUCUUUGAUCAUGUCUCCCAUACAUUUUCUUCUGUAUUGGAAGUUGCUGUGAAAUUGCUUGAUGCUUGAAGUCAAGGCUGUCUACUCCUGUAAUCCACAUGUAUUUGCUGGUGCUUGACCAUAUUCAUUUGUUUGCCAUUGUAAAUUUCAUCUCUCAUUUUCUGUUUCUUUUUGGAGUCCGAACAUCUGGAUUGUUUAUUCAUUUGCUUCUGGUGGUGGUUGUUGCCCUUGAGCGUCAUUGUUGUUGGUGAGUCAUAUUAUACGAUUAUUGCUUGACCAAGUUGAUCUUGGAUGCUUAAUGUUCCAAUCAUACAGCAAAGACUACAAUGCUUCUUAAAUUUAACUGAGCAGAAAUGUCGCUACUGUGUUCAGUGCUUGUCCUGAAGCAAUGACAUAAUCUAUCAUUUUUGCGUGCUGGGUACCCCUGUUAGACUCAUUCAAAAGUCAGCUGGUCAUGUAUUCUAUAAUUUCAUCAGGUCAACUGAAUUAGGUUUUUGAUGUAGGAGCUAAGAUUCUAGUUCAACAUUUUUAUAUUAAACCGAUGUAAAUCUAUGAAUCAUUCUUACUGGAACAUUUUCUAUCCUUGUAACCUUGUUAUUUCAUUAGGUUGCUUCCACUAAAGAGACUUGGGAUUGGUUCUGGUGGUAUCAACUUUGUUUCAUUUGCCCUUACGGUAACUCCAACCUUAAUUACCGUACAUAGGGAACUAACAUCAGCGAUACCUAGAUGAACCGCUUUGAGGCAUCCUAGGGUUAUUCUUUGUAGAUUGUUUUGUUCUCUCUAUUGUGCAACUAUAUUCUGUACAUUAUUAAUCUUUUGUUUGGUACAAAGGAGUAAUCGGAUGAAGGAUAGAUAGGAGAAGAAUGAUGGGUAUUCCAUCCAUCCUUCGUGUGUUUGGUAAAACGUAGAAGAAUGGAUGGGAAUGAUUCUUUUCCAUGUUUGAUAUAAAAGAAAUGAAAGGAAGGAUGGAUGAUAUUUAUAUGAUAACUUUACUGAACUAACUUUUGAUUAAAAAAAAGUAUUAUUAUUAUCAAUUUAUAACACUUAUUUAUACUUAAGAAGUAGGACAAUAUAUAAACUUAUAAUCUUUAUAAUUUAUAAUAUAUAAAAAUUAUAUAAAUAUUUAUUUUGAAUUAAAUUUGAUUAAAUAAAUAAAUUUAUAAAUUAAUUAUAUAUGCAUUAAUUUAUUCAUAUAUUAAUUAUAUAAAUAACUAAUUAAUUUAUAAUUUAAUUUAAAUAUUUAAUUAAUUUUAUAUAGACAGCUAGCUAAAAAGAGUGCAUAUAAAUAGAAAAAUAGAAGACAAUUUAAUUAUUUACUUAUAAUUAUGGAAAUAAUGUACUAAAAUUAAUAUAGUUAGUAACGAAAUUACGAAAUUUCAUACUAUAGGGUUAAUAGUAUAGGUAAAAUAAAAAUAUAUAUAAAUAAAAUGAAUGAAAAACUGAAAAAGUGUUAGGAUUUUAUCAAAAAAUUAGUGAAGGAUAAUUUUGUCAUCAUAGAAAUCCACUUCGAUUGGUGGGUCAGGAUGGAUGGGUAAUCCCUCAUUUUCAUCUAUCUUUUCUAAAACUUUUUGAACCAAAUGAUGGAUGGAGGUCAUCCAUCUUUUCAAUCCCAUCUAUCUCUUUCUUAUGACCCCAACCAAACACAA